AACGUACGCAAUGCGCACAGAAACCAAGGUGCAGCGUUCUGUAACAUCGCCAACAUAUCCGGUACGCGGUGGCAGGCUUGCCGAGCACGAAAUGAAGGGGGGGUCGCAUCUCACCAUUCAACUAAGCAUGCAUGUGCUCGGUUGAAUGCUCGGUAGCGUGCGAGUUUACCCCUAUCAGGAUGUUUGUUUGCAUAUCCCUCCAAGCGAGAGGGCUUGCACCUAUGCUGAUGUUCGUUCCAAGAAGUGAACUGAGGACUGAUGCUACGGUGAAAGAUUUGCACGUAAAUUCGCCCGUGCAAUAAAACGCCCUGUAACUCGCUUACGCUAAUCUCACAUUCCAAUAUGCCACUGCACUUUCCUCUCCAGCCUGGCCACAUUCUCUUCCUCGCAAACGUACUUGGGCACCUUACAAUCCAACACCAUACGUGCUUUGGAAACGCGGGCAGCUGCUUCACAAGGACCCCCCUAUUUGGUAUUCUCUUCUAAGUAGCGCGGCGCUGUAGUCUGCUGAUGUAUUAUCACGGCGUCCUUGGUUUUGGAGACUGUGCCGGGCCUGAUUGUACGGUUCUGGCUUCAACGCCGGCCUGUGACCAGCAUCGGUUCCGUGCCGACCAUGCUUUGGGUAAAACCCUAAAACCCUACAGUUAAUCUUGCGUUGCUUGCGCGGCGGGUCCGCAAAUGUUUCGUGGCCGUCUGCGACUUCGCCCGGCAACUCGCCAUCCUCAAGGUCGCUACCGUUAUCCAUCUGUGUUGGAUUGACCCAUACUAGAUGACUCGAUUUUCCUCCUUUCAUGCUGAAGGUAGAGCUAAUUCCACGAGGGGAGUCGUGCCCUGUAAGUCUCCGUUCGACUGGGGCGGCGGAAUGUCCCGGUUCUCCUGCUUUGAACGCUUCGCAAAGCUUCUUAGCUAGAUAUCCUGUUGUUAUAUAAACGCCAGCCUCAGACCGUUGAUACGAGUCCAAUGGUGAGGUGAACCUUUGCCCUGUAACAAACGGUGAUAUCUGCCUGACUUAUUGCCAGGUUGGGGGUCCUCCGUAACACUUAUGAACCAUGAAAGAGAAGUGGUAUGCUUGCUCCGCAAACUUGCCGUGCUCUGGAUCCGAAACCCAUUCCUUCCGAAACAGUGAAACAGCAUGCAACACGAAUGCACACGGGUUGCUCCAUCUAACAAAUACUGUGCUGGAUAUGAACUAGAAAUUUUAUGUUUGGCACACCGCCUCAUGCAUUUCUGAGGCAAGGCCAUUUUUACUUGCUAAAUAGACUGCGAUCGUUUUUACUACUGUAGUUCCCCCACGACCCUUUUUAUUUCUCAUACAUUGUAUAGGUAUGCGGCCACCGACACGCCGAUUUGACAAAUCCAAGACCAAGGCCAAGGCCUUGUUGUAGUUGCAGCUGGUUACGAACCCCCAAAACAAACACCAAGGCCUCACCAAAACUGGCUCAGCUUGAGAAACAUUAUGGCCCCAGCCAAUCAUCCCCAAAACCCACAAGCAUUAGCGCUUAAUCAGUUCCACUUGUUAAGUGGCUUGCUUUCCCAUCUCUACACGGCAUCAGCUGCCAGGUGCUACCUCCACCGCUCCUGGCGCUGCCAUCCAGCACUUUUGGCUCUCCACAUUAUCGCCGCUGUGCUCGCACACAUCCGUACAUGAGUGAUCACCGACCCGGAAAGGUAAACCACCGCAGGCCAUUAUUCACCCCUCACCGCACUACCUCCUCUUCCCCUACACGCACACGUACGCAAACCUACUACCGCAUGAAUCCUCACCACACACUCCCCCUCCUCCUCCACAAGUACCUCCCCUGUAGGGGCUACACGCAUCAUAUGCGCCACAGGAUCCGCUUCUGCUUAACGAAAAGCUGAGUAAUCAACGGACCGGAAUGCAACGCUGGCAUCUACACCAACGGACCGUCCGUGAUUCGUAGUGAGGCCAGAGGUCCACAUGGAAUAUGCAAACCGGACGCUCUACACCACCUCUAUAUUCGCUUUCUGCUUCCGUCCCCUGCCAAGAAAGAGAUGGAUCGCAGAGGCUAAGAUAAAAAUUUGUCCACAAAAUUGUCUGGCGAGUACGGCAAGGGUACAGCACAGGUACAGAGAGCUGAGAGGUGGGGCAGGCUGCGAUAUAGAAUGUGAGACGAAGAGGAACGCCAGGUAGGAGAGAGUGUGAGGAUGAUGUGGCGACAGCCACAGGCAAGCAUAAUGAUUUGACCUAACAGGGCUGGGGACGGUGGCAGUAGGGCACGGCAACCCCGGGCCACGUGGCUACCGCUCGCAC
This 2272-nucleotide long non-coding RNA is filed under the name Volvox carteri. RNAcentral's name for it is "long non-coding RNA (VCAR_LNC002796)". The record is from RNAcentral. Lineage: Eukaryota; Viridiplantae; Chlorophyta; Chlorophyceae; Chlamydomonadales; Volvocaceae.